CGUCCUGUGUGUACUGACGGACACAGACACGGAUAGACACGAACAGCCAUGGACGUCCUGUGUGUGCUGGUGGACAACCCACGGACGUCCUGUGUGUACUGAACAGACAGCCCAUGUGGGCCAAAAUCACCCGAACAGUCCACGGGAAGGGUCACCGUGCUGAGUCCAAGGACCAACGUGCUGAUAUUUGUACUGAUGGACAGCCACAAACGUCCUGUGUGUGCUGAUGGAGACACACAGACACACACGGACAGCCACAGACGUCCUGUGUGUGCUGACGGACACACAUGAACGUACUGUGUGUGUUGACGGACACCCAUGGACGUCCUGUCUGUACUGAACAGACAGCCCACGUGGGCCAAAAUCACCCGAACAGUCCACGGGAAGGGCUGAGUCCAAGAACCAGCGUGCUGAUAUGUGUGCUGAUGGACAGCCACAGACGUCCUAUGUGUGUUGACGGACACACACAGACCAGGGAUCAGCGGAUGUUGCUUUUAGGACUCCGCGGGCACCUUAUGAGAAAUCAAAGUUUUUGGGUUCCGGGGGGAGUAUGGUCGCAAGGCUGAAACUUAAAGGAAUUGACGGAACGGCACCACCAGGAGUGGAGCCUGCGGCUUAAUUUGACUCAACACGGGGAAACUUACCAGGUCCAGACAUAGUAUGGAUUGACAGACUGAGAGCUCUUUCUUGAUUCUAUGGGUGGUGGUGCAUGGCCGUUCUUAGUUGGUGGAGCGAUUUGUCUGGUUAAUUCCGUUAACGAAUGAGACCUCAGCCUGCUAACUAGCUACGUGGAGGCAUCCCUUCACGGUAGGCUUCUUAGAGGGACUAUGGCCAUUUUGGCCAAGGAAGUUUAAGGCAAUAACAGGUCUUUGAUGCCCUUAGAUGUUCUGGGCCGCACGUGCGCUACACUGAUGUAUUCAACGAGUUCACACCUUGGCCGACAGGCCCGGGUAAUCUUUGAAAUUUCAUCGUGAUGGGGAUAGAUCAUUACAAUUGUUGGUCUUCAAUGAGGAAUUCUUAGUAAGCAUGAGUAAUCAGCUCGCGUUGACUACGUCCCUUCCCUUUGUACACACCGCCCGUAGCUCCUACCGAUUGAAUGAUCUGGUGAAGUGUUCGGAUCGCGGCGACGUGGGUGGUUCGCCGUCUGCGACAUCGCGAGAAGUCCACUAAACCUUAUCAUUUAGAGGAAGGAGAAGUCGUAACAAGGUUUUUGUAGGUGAACCUGCGGAAG
This 1231-nucleotide ribosomal RNA is filed under the name Brassica napus (rape). RNAcentral's name for it is "SSU rRNA". The stretch from base 325 to 1231 matches the Rfam family "Eukaryotic small subunit ribosomal RNA". The record is from RNAcentral. Lineage: Eukaryota; Viridiplantae; Streptophyta; Magnoliopsida; Brassicales; Brassicaceae.